UUGUUUGUACAAGUUUUUGAC
Non-coding RNA from Caenorhabditis elegans, 21 nucleotides. Lineage: Eukaryota; Metazoa; Nematoda; Chromadorea; Rhabditida; Rhabditidae. The record is from Ensembl.